Molecule: long non-coding RNA, 1053 nt
Organism: Bombus impatiens (common eastern bumble bee)
Lineage: Eukaryota; Metazoa; Arthropoda; Insecta; Hymenoptera; Apidae
Exons: 4
Source: RefSeq, a predicted model, not a curated record
UCCUUCUCCGUCCCUCGAGAGCGUUCCCUAAGAAACAGUCUAUCAGCGACUACGGAUGCCUGAUUCUUUAACUUUAUUCGUUAUACUCACUGUUCGAUGAUGCUCGACGAUCCACGUAUCCUAAAAUUAUAACCAAAAGAGGUUCGUCACCCCAUCCUGUUUUUCUGGUACGUGGGGGUGCUACAGGUGGUUGCGCCGAUUUCACAGAGGAUGACGAUACAGGGCUUUCCAAAAGAUCAUCGUCUAGUUUCGAAUCUUCUUGUACGAUGUUCUGCGUCGAUCUCCUACCAAGACGAGGCAAAAGCUGAAAAUCAAUAUUUUUCUUUUAACUUAACCGCUCUGUUGUUACCAGCAAUCGAAUACAAGAAAUGUGUACAAUGGACAAGGGUGAAUAUUUAAAAACUUACUUUUUUCGAGGUAAUUUCUAAAUCCGCGGCCCAGUCCAUAAUUGUUCAUUGACUUUGAAUAUUAAGCUUAACUUAUUAUUAGAGGCAAAUAAAACCCGUGUUUGCGAGCAGUAACCAUAACAACUGAACGGCCUGCUGACUCGAGCGGUGAAUCGACUUUGUUCGUUCCUGCAUUCGCCUUGCUCCCCUCUUUCGUUCGGGAAGUAGCGCGAGAAACGUGACUGGAAACGCGCCAGUGGAACGGUCAAAACCGGUUCCAAGUACCCUUUGAUUAGAGCGCGUCUUUUUAAACGACAUAUUAAAAGGAUACUGUUUAGAAAUAAGCUGAAAUCGUAAUACGAAAGGUAUCUUGUAUCAUAGAUAUUGCAUCCUAAAGGAUAGCAGUUUAAUAAUGCUUGGUGUCAUCGAUUUGUCGUUGAUAUUCCUCGUCAUCAGGAUUCGCCUCACACGCGUUGUCAUUGUUUGGUGGUCUUACUCCGUUGUAUCUAUAAUUUCAAUCAUAUUGAUACCGCAUGAAGUAUGAAAGACGGGAAUUCGCGUCUCCGGUCCCCAAUCGUUGGAAAAUGAAAAAUGCGAAUUCGCCGAGUGUUAAUCGUAGAUAAUAUGCUUGUAAGUGAAAGACCUGGAAAAGUCACCCUUGCAAAGC